Acromyrmex echinatior (Panamanian leafcutter ant) is the source of this 2008-nucleotide long non-coding RNA. The record is from RefSeq and is a predicted model, not a curated record. NCBI's taxonomy places the organism in Eukaryota, Metazoa, Arthropoda, Insecta, Hymenoptera, Formicidae.
UUUUCGUCCGUUUAGAUUUCGAUUCUAAAGAGGAAAUAUCGAGUUAUUUAAACUUUUGAAUGCGGCAACUCUUUAGAUGAAUACCUUAUUUCGCGAGUGAUGCUUGUGACCGUCCUGACAGUACGAUGUGCUCUUACGCGUAGAUAACACAAGUUAGGUAUUCUUUCCGAGAUAAUAUGCUAUAUCUAAGAGGUACGAGCGAUACGACACCGUCGUCGUCGUCGUCGUCAUCGGAAGGAUGAAAGAUGAGUUAGACGCGGUGACCCAGAAAUAGAUCUCUAUCAAAUCGGAGAUUCCAAUUCCGACGUGAUCCAUCCGCGUUGCCGCGCCGUCGAACGGUCUCGAAAAAUUCUUUGUGAAAACGAGAGAACAUUCCGGAAAUCGAUUACGCAGCUCUGUAUGUAUGUGUGUGUGUGUGUGUGUGUGAGAAAGAAAGAGAAAAAGAAAGAGAGAUUGAGAACAGGUCACCGUAAAAGGAUUUCGAGACGAGCAGCAAGCAGAAUGUUAUCGAAGAACUUUUUCGACAAGAAACUAGAUGUCGAAGAUUGUAAAAUGAAAGAUUGUAAAAUACGCGCGGAAAAUGUACAUGACUGUUGUAAUUUUAACCCUCCACCAUCCUUAUUCUAUAUUGAUAGCAAAGUGACUUGUCGCAUACGUAACAAAUUUCCUGUCUCGACGAUGCACUGAUAAUGAUCGUCCGCACAUUACGUUUUUUUCUCUAUUGUGGAGGGUUAGAAGAACGAAUUGGAGAAGCCAUUUGUCGUCGAUCGGCACCCUCGGGACGGCGUACACCUCGUUAACUACGCGGAUCACCGACAUUCGCGAGAAAUGCACCGUGCAAUCAUGCGAUUGUUGCACGCGAGCAUUAUAAAGCUCCCGAACGACUCGAGAGGCUCGACAAAUCGUCACGAAUUAUAUUAUCGAGAAACAGGUCAUUACGUUCGAUCUCUUUAGCGAGAUACACACCCGGGUAAUUAUUUAUAUUGUCGGACGAAUGCGUGCGAUCGACAUCGUAAAUCAAGGAGGUUCGAUAAGUCCAUCGCGACCGACUGAGUUCGACAACGUCCUAUUAAUAUUGAAAGCGAGAUCCUACGUUACGGGCGUUUCGUUGACGACACGCGACAGAUCACACUAUAUAGUAAGGGGUCUAAUUAAUCACUAACGCAACACGUCUGCCGAUUCGAACGUUCGACGAAGGUGAUUUACGGCUGCCCCCGCCGUAAAGGGUGGACUAUAAAGGAAAUCUCUUGAAGCCGCAGGGAGGAGAAAGGAAAGGUAAAAUUUGUCGAGCGCGCGGAUAAGCGGACGAUCGAUUUAAAAAGAUAAGCGUAAGUUAAAAGAAAAAUAAAACAGCAAGACACUCUGGAAAUAUUCCUCGAGGCAAGCCUCGUCUCAUGGAUUCGCAUCUGUAUACACCUAAAGCGCUUUAGGGUUAACGAGAGGAAAAUAGAAUUAACGAAUCUACGAGAUGAUGCCGAGGAAAGCGAAAGAUAUUAGUGCGAAUGUGGGAAGAUGUGCGGUGCAAAAGUUUAAAAUAUGCGCGUGAGAGGGUGAGAGAAUGUGAAAAAGAGGGAGUGAAAGAGUGAUAAUAAAUCAAUGUUAAAUCCCAUCAUUACCGGACUCGCAAUUUCGGAAGACAGAUCUUCGUUGACCGCCGUUUCUACGUAUAAGUUUAGUCUCGUUUUUCGAAAGCUGGACGCGACCACGCCCAUUCGGCGCCCGAUCGCGGCUGCAUGAUACUAUUUAUUGGAUUUUAGACGGACACACACGUGGGAAGAAAUUUAUUCGUUAUUCGCAUUCGAGCGCGAGCUCAAUUCUUUUACCAGCGACAGACAGAUGGGCGGACGCGAUCGACGUCGAACGGAGCCCCGUCCACGAGAGUACUCUUUACAUACCAGUUUCAGCGUUUCCGUUUUUAACCUAUUGUGGCGAGAAACGGGACGAAGAGCAGUCCCGUUCUAUGUGUGUAAGAACCAUAAAAGCUUAAUAAAAGAAAAAAAAAACAUUA